UGGCGCACGGGUGCGUAACACGUAGCUGACCUGCCCUUCGCAGGGGGAUAACACAGCGAAAGUUGUGCUAAUACCGCGUAGGCUGGUGGGGCUUAGAAGCCCAUCAGUAAAGCGAAUGCGGCGAAGGAGGGGGCUGCGGUCCAUCAGCUCGCUGGUGAGGUAACGGCUCACCAGGGCGACGACGGAUAGGGGGCCUGAGAGGGUGACCCCCCACACUGGAACUGAGACACGGUCCAGACUCCUACGGGAGGCAGCAGUAAGGAAUAUUGCACAAUGGGCGCAAGCCUGAUGCAGCAACGCCGCGUGAGGGAUGAAGGGUUUCGGCUCGUAAACCUCUUUUCUGUGUGAAGAGCAAGGACGGUAGCACAGGAAUAAGUCUCGGCUAACUACGUGCCAGCAGCCGCGGUAAAACGUAGGAGGCGAGCGUUAUCCGGAAUUACUGGGCGUAAAGCGCACGUAGGCGGCGCUGCAAGUGGUGCGUGAAAGCUCCCGGCUCAACUGGGAGAGGCCGUACCAAACUGCGGUGCUAGAGACAGAUAGAGGUCGACAGAAUUCCGGGUGGAGUGGUGAAAUGCGUAGAGAUCCGGAGGAAUACCAGAGGCGAAGGCGGUCGGCUGGGUCUGUUCUGACGCUGAGGUGCGAAAGUGUGGGGAGCGAACGGGAUUAGAAACCCCGGUAGUCCACACCGUAAACGAUGCAUACUAGUUGUUAGGUGCCUACGGGCGCUGAGUGACGAAGCCAACGCGUUAAGUAUGCCGCCUGGGGAGUACGGUCGCAAGGCUAAAACUCAAAGGAAUUGACGGGGGCCCGCACAAGCAGCGGAGCGUGUGGUUUAAUUCGAGGCUACGCGAAGAACCUUACCUGGGCUUGACAUGAUAGUAGUACCCUGGUGGAAACAUCGGGGGACCUUCGGGAGCUAUCACAGGUGCUGCAUGGCUGUCGUCAGCUCGUGCCGUGAGGUGUUCGGUUAAGUCUGAAAACGAGCGCAACCCCGGGCGUUAGUUACAAGUGUCUAACGAGACUGGCCGGGGAAACUGGGAGGAAGGUGGGGAUGACGUCAAGUCAGCAUGGCCUUUAUGUCCAGGG
This 1086-nucleotide ribosomal RNA is filed under the name uncultured organism. Its description in RNAcentral is "bacterial SSU rRNA". It matches the Rfam family "Bacterial small subunit ribosomal RNA", at positions 96 to 1213 of the family's 1533-position model. The record is from RNAcentral.